CACGUAGGCGGCGCGGCCAGUCAGAGGUGAAAGCCCCGGGCUCAACCUGGGAAUUGCCUUUGAUACUGCCGUGCUAGAGUCCAUCAGAGGGUGGCGGAAUAUCCAGUGUAGAGGUGAAAUUCGUAGAUAUUGGAUAGAACACCAGUGGCGAAGGCGGCCACCUGGGAUGGUACUGACGCUGAGGUGCGAAAGCGUGGGGAGCAAACA
This 207-nucleotide ribosomal RNA is filed under the name uncultured bacterium. RNAcentral's name for it is "partial 16S ribosomal RNA". It matches the Rfam family "Bacterial small subunit ribosomal RNA", at positions 568 to 774 of the family's 1533-position model. The record is from RNAcentral.